AACCGAAACAGGGACAAGUUCCCUGUCUGCUGAGGAUAACCUCUCAGCACUGAUGAGGUAGGUUGAA
RNAcentral lists this non-coding RNA (67 nucleotides) under Fervidicella metallireducens AeB. Lineage: Bacteria; Bacillati; Bacillota; Clostridia; Eubacteriales; Clostridiaceae. The record is from RNAcentral.